This 389-nucleotide ribosomal RNA is filed under the name uncultured bacterium. RNAcentral describes it as "bacterial SSU rRNA". It matches the Rfam family "Bacterial small subunit ribosomal RNA", at positions 29 to 420 of the family's 1533-position model. The record is from RNAcentral.
AUUGAACGCUGGCGGCAUGCCUUACACAUGCAAGUCGAACGGCAGCACGGGAGCAAUCCUGGUGGCGAGUGGCGAACGGGUGAGUAACAUAUCGGAACGUGCCCGGUCGUGGGGGAUAACGUAGCGAAAGCUACGCUAAUACCGCAUACGAUCUACGGAUGAAAGCGGGGGAUCGCAAGACCUCGCGCGAUUGGAGCAGCCGAUAUCAGAUUAGGUAGUUGGUGAGGUAAAGGCUCACCAAGCCGACGAUCUGUAGCUGGUCUGAGAGGACGACCAGCCACACUGGGACUGAGACACGGCCCAGACUCCUACGGGAGGCAGCAGUGGGGAAUUUGGACAAUGGGCGCAAGCCUGAUCCAGCAAUGCCGCGUGCAGGAUGAAGGCCUCGG